UAAUGUAAAAGGAAGGUAAAA
RNAcentral lists this non-coding RNA (21 nucleotides) under Caenorhabditis elegans. The record is from RNAcentral. Lineage: Eukaryota; Metazoa; Nematoda; Chromadorea; Rhabditida; Rhabditidae.